UCAUCUGGCAGGAAUACCAUUAAGCCAUUGCCUCCCCUUUUUAGCAAUGUUUAAAGAAAGUUCCAUCAUUCUACGUGAACAAUGUGCAACGUCCAUGUGUCGGCCUCUCCAAAAGGAUGAGGCUGUCACUGGCUCGGCCAGCAUUUAUUGCUGCGUUUACCCAGAGGGCAGUUAAGAGUCAACUGCGUUGCUAUAGGUCUGGAGUCCCAUGCAGACCAGACCAGAUCCCAGUGAUCAGUGCCAAAGCCCCAUUGCCUGUGGAGAAGGUGAUGUUUGAUUUCCUGUACAGCUGCAGUUCAUGUGGUGAAGGUGCUCCCACAAUGUGGUUGGGAAAUUGACAGCACCCAGAGGAAGCCCACGCAGACACACAGGGAGAAUGUGCAAACACCACACAGACAGUGGAGUCGAACCAGAGUCCAUUUAUUGACCAGCGCAUUCCAUUAAAGGUCCACACCUUCCUCAGUCUCCUUAUCAAUUAUUGGCAUGUUCUUCGUAUCCUCCACUGUGAAGACUGACUGCUGUGUACUCCUAUUCCUGAACCCUACUGGAUAGCAAUAACUAGGGUGCUAGACGGUGAAGAUUUGCAGACUGAAAUCUCAAACUCGUAUGCAGAUUGUGAUUAAGUUAACCAGCAUUUGAAGAACCAAACAUGGAGAAUAACUUGCCCAAAAUUCUGCAACACACUCCCUCCCAGCAUUGUUGGUCUUUCUGCGCCAAAUGGACUGUGAAUGGUACAAGACAGCAGCUCACUCCCAUCUUCUCAAGGGUAACUAGAGAUGGGGAAUAAAUGCUGGCUGAGCCAGUGAUGCCCAUAUCCUGGAAAUGGUUUCUAUCUCUAAUUGCUGAGUUUGGGGAGAAUGUGCAAACUCCACACAGGCUGUUGACCAAGGCUGGACUCCAACCUUGUACCUGGUGCUGUGAAGCAGCAGUGCUAUAGAGCAAUUUAAAUCAAAACAGAUGACCCCUGCUCAUUGCUGUUUGUGGAGACUCAUUGCCCAGAGAGACAUCCUGAGAUUCAGAAAGAGACAAUAUGAAUUCAAUCAACUCCUGCCGAGUUAAUGUGAUUAACAACAACAUCAAUACUCCAACAGUGUUAUGAGACUUCGUACCUACUAUAUCAUUUACGAUUUUUAACCCAUGGGAAGUUUGUUACCAUCUUCAAUGACAGCCAUAAUGCUCUGACCACUUUGACAGAGCCAGUGCUAGUCAGUUCUAAUAGUUAUCAAUAGAUUGUAUCUAAACAGGAUGCCCCACAACAGGAAGUGCUCUGGCACUCAAUGCCCGUAAGUCAAGGUCAUUUUCCUAAAACCACUCACGACUGGCAAUACCAUUGAAGGUAUUUUAUACAGUUACCUUACAGUCUCAAUUGCAAGUUCCAGUCCAUGAAGCAGCCAGUAACAUGCCCCAGUGAAUUGAAUUCUAACAGCAGCAUUGCCCUGGCAGGAGAGAUUGAGGAGCUUGAAGCUGUCUUCUCUGGACUAACUAAACAUGAAACACUUCAAAUGAACAAAAAUCUUCAAGAGCUCAAGAGGAUAGAUACAGGAAGGAAGUGCUCCCUGGCUGGUGUGCCUGGAAUGAAAUAAGCACUAACUACAGUAUCUUUACCCAACAUCCCCUUUAGCUGCAUCGAUGUUGAAGAUUUAUUUGCUGCUCUAAUUCCACUCUCUUGAUCACUCCAAUUUUUAACUGCUGUAAUGUUC
Hemiscyllium ocellatum (epaulette shark) is the source of this 1700-nucleotide long non-coding RNA. RefSeq lists it as uncharacterized. NCBI's taxonomy places the organism in Eukaryota, Metazoa, Chordata, Chondrichthyes, Orectolobiformes, Hemiscylliidae. The transcript is spliced from 6 exons. The record is from RefSeq and is a predicted model, not a curated record.